Non-coding RNA from Phoenix dactylifera (date palm), 1496 nucleotides. The record is from RefSeq and is a predicted model, not a curated record. Lineage: Eukaryota; Viridiplantae; Streptophyta; Magnoliopsida; Arecales; Arecaceae.
ACUACAGCACCCAGUGAGAGGACUCCACGCUCCACAGGAAGUUGUGUUUCCGUAAUCGAAUGUAAUUCUUCUAAACUAAUCUGAUCCAAAGAGAUAAAUCAUAAAAAAAUUAAAAUAAUUCGUUGGCUUACCGAAUCCAAAAAGGACAUUAUGGUAAGUUUCCAGUGCCGGACCAAUCAUUAUAUACUCCACCCACCGCACGCCUUCCGAGCUCCCACCAACGGAAAAUAUACUCCCCAUCCGCUCCCCUUCGCCUCUGCUUCCGAGCUCUCUUCACUACUUCGAUUGUCUCUCGGAAACUAAUUGCCAAUGGCUUUGGAUGAGACCAUGGCGGCCGCUCACGACUUCGUCAAAGAUGAUGAUGAUGAUGAUGAUGAUGAUUACGGCGGGGCCGUCCGUUUCAUGCCGGACGGCGGCGGCGGCGACAUCGGCUAUAGGCGGAUCUCGCGCCUCUCGAUCGAGAGCUCGGACGGCAAUGACGCGGACGCCGAGGUAUCGGAGGAGGAGAAGGUGGUGGUGAGGAAGAGCAUCCUGGCGUCGCUGAUGGAGGGGGAGGGGGAGGACUCCGGCAACGACUGGGCAUCGACGGGGACGGCGUCGCUGCCGGGGACGCCUCUCCGGGGAACGCCGGGUCCGGCGGCGAAGGAGUACGCGAGCGAGACGGAGGCGCGUGGGCUGCGGGUCGGGGGCGGGGGGAGGAGGCGGCGGAGGGCGAGGGAACGGUGGCUGGAGCGGUCGUGGGAGAAGAAGAAGAGGAUGGCGGAGGAGGGGCCGGCGGCGGCGGCAACGGAGGGGAUGGUCGACGUCGGCGAGUGCAGGGUUUUGGUGCGGCCGAGAGGUGGGAUGGGGACGCUGUGUAUGGAUAUGGAGGAGGUGAAGGCGUGCCGGGAUCUGGGGCUGGAGCUGCCCAGGGAUUGGACGGUCGAGAUCCCGUGCGCCCUCUCCGGAUCGACGGUGGAUACCAGCAGCGGCGGCAACUCCCCCAUAGCUAACUGGAGGAUCUCCAGCCCUGCAGGCGAUGACCCCAAGGAUGUGAAGGCUAGGCUCAAGGUUUGGGCUCAAGCAGUGGCACUCGCAUCUGCUUCUCGUCUCAGCAGCUGACUCAAUCCUACAAACUGCAUUCACAUGCAUGUUUUCAAUCGUUGCUUUCUGCACUCGGUUUUGAGAUAAAACUAGGAGCAUAUAUACAAAGAAAAAAGAGUAUUGAAUAUAGCAUGGUGAUUUGGAGGUUUUCCACAUAGCUCCAGUCCAAGUGGUUGCUGCACUCGCCCGUUUGGAGGCAUUGCAUCGACUCAAGCAGCAUGGGGUUUCAAGCUGUGAAAGGGGUGACAUCCUUGGAGGUUGAUGACGAGAUGGAGUCUCUUGGAACUAAUUCUGCACUGAAACUAGUGAUGAGAUAUUUUGCCCUUGUGCUAGAGACCAAGGUCCUUUGUAUCAGCCUUUAGGCUCAUAUAUAAUUUGAUAAAAAGGAACAAAAAAAAAAAGAUUUUUCAAAA